RNAcentral lists this ribosomal RNA (252 nucleotides) under uncultured bacterium. Its description in RNAcentral is "partial 16S ribosomal RNA". It matches the Rfam family "Bacterial small subunit ribosomal RNA", at positions 524 to 776 of the family's 1533-position model. The record is from RNAcentral.
UACGGAGGAUGCGAGCGUUGUCCGGAUUUAUUGGGUUUAAAGGGUGCGUAGGCGGGAUGCCAAGUCAGCGGUAAAAAUGCGGUGCUCAACGCCGUCGAGCCGUUGAAACUGGCGUUCUUGAGUGGGCGAGAAGUAUGCGGAAUGCGUGGUGUAGCGGUGAAACGCAUAGAUAUCACGCAGAACUCCGAUUGCGAAGGCAGCAUACCGGCGCCCUACUGACGCUGAGGCACGAAAGCGUGGGUAUCGAACAGG